GGUUAAGCGACUAAGCGUACACGGUGGAUGCCCUGGCAGUCAGAGGCGAUGAAGGACGUGCUAAUCUGCGAUAAGCGUCGGUAAGGUGAUAUGAACCGUUAUAACCGGCGAUUUCCGAAUGGGGAAACCCAGUGUGUUUCGACACACUAUCAUUAACUGAAUCCAUAGGUUAAUGAGGCGAACCGGGGGAACUGAAACAUCUAAGUACCCCGAGGAAAAGAAAUCAACCGAGAUUCCCCCAGUAGCGGCGAGCGAACGGGGAGCAGCCCAGAGCCUGAAUCAGUAUGUGUGUUAGUGGAAGCGUCUGGAAAGGCGCGCGAUACAGGGUGACAGCCCCGUACACAAAAAUGCACAUACUGUGAGCUCGAUGAGUAGGGCGGGACACGUGGUAUCCUGUCUGAAUAUGGGGGGACCAUCCUCCAAGGCUAAAUACUCCUGACUGACCGAUAGUGAACCAGUACCGUGAGGGAAAGGCGAAAAGAACCCCGGCGAGGGGAGUGAAAAAGAACCUGAAACCGUGUACGUACAAGCAGUGGGAGCACAGAGCAAUCUGUGUGACUGCGUACCUUUUGUAUAAUGGGUCAGCGACUUAUAUUCUGUAGCAAGGUUAACCGAAUAGGGGAGCCGAAGGGAAACCGAGUCUUAACUGGGCGUUAAGUUGCAGGGUAUAGACCCGAAACCCGGUGAUCUAGCCAUGGGCAGGUUGAAGGUUGGGUAACACUAACUGGAGGACCGAACCGACUAAUGUUGAAAAAUUAGCGGAUGACUUGUGGCUGGGGGUGAAAGGCCAAUCAAACCGGGAGAUAGCUGGUUCUCCCCGAAAGCUAUUUAGGUAGCGCCUCGUGAAUUCAUCUCCGGGGGUAGAGCACUGUUUCGGCAAGGGGGUCAUCCCGACUUACCAACCCGAUGCAAACUGCGAAUACCGGAGAAUGUUAUCACGGGAGACACACGGCGGGUGCUAACGUCCGUCGUGAAGAGGGAAACAACCCAGACCGCCAGCUAAGGUCCCAAAGUCAUGGUUAAGUGGGAAACGAUGUGGGAAGGCCCAGACAGCCAGGAUGUUGGCUUAGAAGCAGCCAUCAUUUAAAGAAAGCGUAAUAGCUCACUGGUCGAGUCGGCCUGCGCGGAAGAUGUAACGGGGCUAAACCAUGCACCGAAGCUGCGGCAGCGACGCUUAUGCGUUGUUGGGUAGGGGAGCGUUCUGUAAGCCUGCGAAGGUGUGCUGUGAGGCAUGCUGGAGGUAUCAGAAGUGCGAAUGCUGACAUAAGUAACGAUAAAGCGGGUGAAAAGCCCGCUCGCCGGAAGACCAAGGGUUCCUGUCCAACGUUAAUCGGGGCAGGGUGAGUCGACCCCUAAGGCGAGGCCGAAAGGCGUAGUCGAUGGGAAACAGGUUAAUAUUCCUGUACUUGGUGUUACUGCGAAGGGGGGACGGAGAAGGCUAUGUUGGCCGGGCGACGGUUGUCCCGGUUUAAGCGUGUAGGCUGGUUUUCCAGGCAAAUCCGGAAAAUCAAGGCUGAGGCGUGAUGACGAGGCACUACGGUGCUGAAGCAACAAAUGCCCUGCUUCCAGGAAAAGCCUCUAAGCAUCAGGUAACAUCAAAUCGUACCCCAAACCGACACAGGUGGUCAGGUAGAGAAUACCAAGGCGCUUGAGAGAACUCGGGUGAAGGAACUAGGCAAAAUGGUGCCGUAACUUCGGGAGAAGGCACGCUGAUAUGUAGGUGAAGUCCCUCGCGGAUGGAGCUGAAAUCAGUCGAAGAUACCAGCUGGCUGCAACUGUUUAUUAAAAACACAGCACUGUGCAAACACGAAAGUGGACGUAUACGGUGUGACGCCUGCCCGGUGCCGGAAGGUUAAUUGAUGGGGUCAGCGCAAGCGAAGCUCUUGAUCGAAGCCCCGGUAAACGGCGGCCGUAACUAUAACGGUCCUAAGGUAGCGAAAUUCCUUGUCGGGUAAGUUCCGACCUGCACGAAUGGCGUAAUGAUGGCCAGGCUGUCUCCACCCGAGACUCAGUGAAAUUGAACUCGCUGUGAAGAUGCAGUGUACCCGCGGCAAGACGGAAAGACCCCGUGAACCUUUACUAUAGCUUGACACUGAACAUUGAGCCUUGAUGUGUAGGAUAGGUGGGAGGCUUUGAAGUGUGGACGCCAGUCUGCAUGGAGCCGACCUUGAAAUACCACCCUUUAAUGUUUGAUGUUCUAACGUUGACCCGUGAUCCGGGUUGCGGACAGUGUCUGGUGGGUAGUUUGACUGGGGCGGUCUCCUCCUAAAGAGUAACGGAGGAGCACGAAGGUUGGCUAAUCCUGGUCGGACAUCAGGAGGUUAGUGCAAUGGCAUAAGCCAGCUUGACUGCGAGCGUGACGGCGCGAGCAGGUGCGAAAGCAGGUCAUAGUGAUCCGGUGGUUCUGAAUGGAAGGGCCAUCGCUCAACGGAUAAAAGGUACUCCGGGGAUAACAGGCUGAUACCGCCCAAGAGUUCAUAUCGACGGCGGUGUUUGGCACCUCGAUGUCGGCUCAUCACAUCCUGGGGCUGAAGUAGGUCCCAAGGGUAUGGCUGUUCGCCAUUUAAAGUGGUACGCGAGCUGGGUUUAGAACGUCGUGAGACAGUUCGGUCCCUAUCUGCCGUGGGCGCUGGAGAAUUGAGGGGGGCUGCUCCUAGUACGAGAGGACCGGAGUGGACGCAUCACUGGUGUUCGGGUUGUCAUGCCAAUGGCACUGCCCGGUAGCUAAAUGCGGAAGAGAUAAGUGCUGAAAGCAUCUAAGCACGAAACUUGCCCCGAGAUGAGUUCUCCCUGACUCCUUGAGAGUCCUGAAGGAACGUUGAAGACGACGACGUUGAUAGGCCGGAUGUGUAAGCGCAGCGAUGCGUUGAGCUAACCGGUACUAAUGAACCGUGAGGCUUAACCUU
This 2906-nucleotide ribosomal RNA is filed under the name Escherichia coli. RNAcentral describes it as "23S ribosomal RNA". It matches the Rfam family "Bacterial large subunit ribosomal RNA". Lineage: Bacteria; Pseudomonadati; Pseudomonadota; Gammaproteobacteria; Enterobacterales; Enterobacteriaceae. The record is from RNAcentral.